RNAcentral lists this transfer RNA (109 nucleotides) under Methanofollis sp. W23. RNAcentral describes it as "tRNA-Met". It matches the Rfam family "tRNA". From Rfam's summary of the family: Transfer RNA (tRNA) molecules are approximately 80 nucleotides in length. Their secondary structure includes four short double-helical elements and three loops (D, anti-codon, and T loops). Lineage: Archaea; Methanobacteriati; Methanobacteriota; Methanomicrobia; Methanomicrobiales; Methanomicrobiaceae. The record is from RNAcentral.
GCUGCGGUGGCCUAGUUGGUUAGGGCGCCAGACUCAUAGGGUUUUGAGCAACGGACGCGCCCAGAUCUGAGAUAUCUGGAGGUCGGGGGUUCGGAUCCCCCUCGCAGCA